This 409-nucleotide ribosomal RNA is filed under the name Boophis reticulatus. Its description in RNAcentral is "partial 16S ribosomal RNA". It matches the Rfam family "Bacterial large subunit ribosomal RNA", at positions 2028 to 2597 of the family's 2925-position model. The record is from RNAcentral. Lineage: Eukaryota; Metazoa; Chordata; Amphibia; Anura; Mantellidae.
UCCAAUCAGUGAAACUGAUCUCCCCGUGAAGAAGCGGGGAUAAGUAUAUUAGACGAGAAGACCCCAUGGAGCUUUAAACCCGACAGCACCCACUUAUUUAACACCUUCUUAUCCGCCUGGCCCCUGUCUGCUCGGUUUUGGGUUGGGGUGACCGCGGAGCAUAAAAUAGCCUCCACGAAAGAAGGGAUGAUUCCCUCAUUUUAGAACUACACUUCCAAAGACUAACAAAUUAAUUUUAAGUGAUCCGAUACCCGUAUUCGAUCAACGAACCAAGUUACCCUGGGGAUAACAGCGCAAUCUACCUCAAGAGCCCCUAUCGACAGGUGGGUUUACGACCUCGAUGUUGGAUCAGGGUAUCCCAGUGGUGCAGCAGCUACCAAAGGUUCGUUUGUUCAACGAUUAAAACCCU